RNAcentral lists this long non-coding RNA (203 nucleotides) under Prunus persica (peach). Its description in RNAcentral is "long non-coding RNA (PPER_LNC006128)". The record is from RNAcentral. Lineage: Eukaryota; Viridiplantae; Streptophyta; Magnoliopsida; Rosales; Rosaceae.
CUUUGCUGAUUCGGAAUUGGCAGAGUUUGAAGCUAUGGACUAAGAUGCCCAAAUCUGAGGGUUUGCUUAAUUAUGAAAGGACCUUCCCAUGUAGGUGACCAUUUUCCAUACCCAGCCACAUGAGUUCCAAGAGGUAGAACUGCCUUUCAAACUAUUUCUCCCUCUUCAAAACUCUUGUUUUUGACUCUUUUGUUGUAGGCUCU